GCGAUAGCUGGUUUCUCAAGAAAAGAAUUUUAGUUCAACCUAAAGUAAAUAAUAUACAUUAAAAUUAUUUUAUACUUUAGAGCAAUUCAAAUAAGGUACAGCCUAUUUGAUGAGGGAUACAACCCCUACUAACGGGUACAAUACUUAAAUUAUACCUUAAGUAGGCCUAAAAGCAGCCAUCUUUUAAAAAGCGUCAAAGCUUAGCAAUAUAAACACCAAUUUCUAAAUUUAAAUUCACCCCUUUUUUACUACUGAGAACUUCUAUAACAUUAUAGAAAUUUUUAUGCUAAAACUAGUAACAAGAGGUAACCCCCUCUCUAAGAUGUAAACAUAAACCAGGAUGAAUAAAUCACUGGUAAUUAACAAAUUUAAUUAAAAGUAAUAACUCACCUAGAAAACAUUACUUAACUUAUUGUUAACCUAACACAAGAACAUCCCAAGAAAGAUUAAAAGAAAAAGAAGGAACUCGGCAAAUAUUAACCCCGCCUGUUUACCAAAAACAUCACCUCUUGCUUCUAUAAGAGGCCAUGCCUGCCCAGUGACUCAUGUUUAACGGCCGCGGUAUCCUAACCGUGCAAAGGUAGCGUAAUCACUUGUCUUUUAAAUAAAGACUUGUAUGAAAGGCUUCACGAAGGUUGUACUGUCUCCUUUUUCUAAUCAGUAAACCUAAUCUCCCUGUGAAGAAGCGGGGAUAAUUAUAUAAGACGAGAAGACCCUAUGGAGCUUAAAACACAAUAACACUUAAUUAACCCCUUACUACUACGGUACCUACCAAUAUCUUAUGCUGAUUAUAUGUUUUCGGUUGGGGUGACCGCGGAGAACAAUUUAUCCUCCAUGAUGAAAGAGUAUAAACCUCUAAACAACAAGCCACAACUUUAAGUAUCAAAAAUUUGACAUAAAUGAUCCAAUACUUUGAUCAACGAACCAAGUUACCCUAGGGAUAACAGCGC
RNAcentral lists this ribosomal RNA (950 nucleotides) under Pristimantis labiosus. Its description in RNAcentral is "partial large subunit ribosomal RNA". It matches the Rfam family "Bacterial large subunit ribosomal RNA", at positions 842 to 2483 of the family's 2925-position model. The record is from RNAcentral. Lineage: Eukaryota; Metazoa; Chordata; Amphibia; Anura; Strabomantidae.